GACGAACGCUUGCGGCGUGCUUAACACAUGCAAGUCGAACGGAAAGGCCCUGCUUUUGUGGGGUGCUCGAGUGGCGAACGGGUGAGUAACACGUGAGUAACCUGCCCUUGACUUUGGGAUAACUUCAGGAAACUGGGGCUAAUACCGGAUAGGAGCUCCUGCUGCAUGGUGGGGGUUGGAAAGUUUCGGCGGUUGGGGAUGGACUCGCGGCUUAUCAGCUUGUUGGUGGGGUAGUGGCUUACCAAGGCUUUGACGGGUAGCCGGCCUGAGAGGGUGACCGGCCACAUUGGGACUGAGAUACGGCCCAGACUCCUACGGGAGGCAGCAGUGGGGAAUAUUGCACAAUGGGCGGAAGCCUGAUGCAGCAACGCCGCGUGCGGGAUGACGGCCUUCGGGUUGUAAACCGCUUUCGCCUGUGACGAAGCGUGAGUGACGGUAAUGGGUAAAGAAGCACCGGCUAACUACGUGCCAGCAGCCGCGGUGAUACGUAGGGUGCGAGCGUUGUCCGGAUUUAUUGGGCGUGAAGGGCUCGUAGGUGGUUGAUCGCGUCGGAAGUGUAAUCUUGGGGCUUAACCCUGAGCGUGCUUUCGAUACGGGUUGACUUGAGGAAGGUAGGGGAGAAUGGAAUUCCUGGUGGAGCGGUGGAAUGCGCAGAUAUCAGGAGGAACACCAGUGGCGAAGGCGGUUCUCUGGGCCUUUCCUGACGCUGAGGAGCGAAAGCGUGGGGAGCGAACAGGCUUAGAUACCCUGGUAGUCCACGCUGUAAACGGUGGGUACUAGGUGUGGGGUCCAUUCCACGGGUUCCGUGCCGUAGCUAACGCUUUAAGUACCCCGCCUGGGGAGUACGGCCGCAAGGCUAAAACUCAAAGGAAUUGACGGGGCCCCGCACAAGCGGCGGAGCAUGCGGAUUAAUUCGAUGCAACGCGUAGAACCUUACCUGGGUUUGACAUGGAUCGGGAGUGCUCAGAGAUGGGUGUGCCUCUUUUGGGGUCGGUUCACAGGUGGUGCAUGGCUGUCGUCAGCUCGUGUCGUGAGAUGUUGGGUUAAGUCCCGCAACGAGCGCAACCCUUGUUCACUGUUGCCAGCACGUUAUGGUGGGGACUCAGUGGAGACCGCCGGGGUCAACUCGGAGGAAGGUGGGGAUGACGUCAAGUCAUCAUGCCCCUUAUGUCCAGGGCUUCACGCAUGCUACAAUGGCUGGUACAGAGAGUGGCGAGCCUGUGAGGGUGAGCGAAUCUCGGAAAGCCGGUCUCAGUUCGGAUUGGGGUCUGCAACUCGACCUCAUGAAGUCGGAGUCGCUAGUAAUCGCAGAUCAGCAACGCUGCGGUGAAUACGUUCCCGGGGCU
Molecule: ribosomal RNA, 1346 nt
Filed under: uncultured bacterium
Lineage: Bacteria
Description: partial 16S ribosomal RNA
Rfam family: Bacterial small subunit ribosomal RNA
Source: RNAcentral